This 58-nucleotide transfer RNA is filed under the name Mus musculus (house mouse). It matches the Rfam family "tRNA", at positions 8 to 63 of the family's 71-position model. Rfam says of the family: Transfer RNA (tRNA) molecules are approximately 80 nucleotides in length. Their secondary structure includes four short double-helical elements and three loops (D, anti-codon, and T loops). The record is from Rfam by way of RNAcentral. RNAcentral also lists the same sequence under 1 other name. Lineage: Eukaryota; Metazoa; Chordata; Mammalia; Rodentia; Muridae.
UAGCUCAGUGGUUAAGAGCACUGGCUGAUCUUUCAGAGGACCUGGGUUCAAUUCCCAG